CCGAACGUCGCUUGGAUUUAACUCCAUCUCCUCGUCUUUUAGAUGUGUCUUAAUCUGGGCUUGCGCCGUCCUUCCCUCCGCUGAACAGGAGGAGUGAAAAUCGCAGUUUACCCGCUGCGAGCCGCACACACAAGGGCUGGAUUGUGGGCCGGAUGGAGAUUAAGGGGAAAAGUGCAGGAAAAAAAAGCAGCAGAGCAACGAGAGACGCUUCUAUACUUCGAAAUGCAAAAGAAAGCAACCGUGGGCUGUGUUCAAGAGCCGGCCUGGGACUGAUGGCACCCAAACCCCGCAAUUCGAAAUGAGUUUGAUGGGAUUUAAGGCUACUUCUGCGAACUUCAGGCGAGGCGAAAAAUAACCCGAGCGCCUGAAGUUGCUCGAGAAGCUCUUCUCGCCCAGCGUCAACUUUCCUCUCUCCUUUAAUUUCCCAAUAAAUAUGCAAAUCGAUUCGUCCCCACAAAUGGGGGAACGGGGAAAAUAAAUAAAUGACAGAA
This is a long non-coding RNA of Lagopus leucura (white-tailed ptarmigan), 491 nucleotides long. RefSeq lists it as uncharacterized. Lineage: Eukaryota; Metazoa; Chordata; Aves; Galliformes; Phasianidae. The record is from RefSeq and is a predicted model, not a curated record. The transcript is spliced from 3 exons.